This is a long non-coding RNA of Bubalus bubalis (water buffalo), 3052 nucleotides long. RefSeq lists it as uncharacterized. The transcript has 3 exons. The record is from RefSeq and is a predicted model, not a curated record. Lineage: Eukaryota; Metazoa; Chordata; Mammalia; Artiodactyla; Bovidae.
UGGGAUCCAAGGAUCAGAGAAGGGGGUGAGAAGGUUCAGAUUGUCUGGAUCUAGCUCCUGGAUCAGAUGAUGGCCCUGUCCUCUCCGUGACCUCCUCCAACACCGCUGGCUUCACCUUUCCUGAAGAGAGGCAAUAAAUAUGGACUUCAUUGAAAUAUCGUGUGUCAAUUGGAUUUCAUGCCUUAAUCACACUGGCAGAGAAAAGAGUGUAGUGGCUGCUUUGGAGAAUGGAGGAAGCUGGAAAGAAGGUAAAGAGUGAAGAUACAAGAUGACAAUGGGAUGAGAUCCAGGGAAGAGAGAAGGUCAUAGAGCUGAGAAGGAAUUGACUUUUCUUCAUGUUAAGGGUGGCGGAGGGGAAGAAUUCAACUGAUUACUAGACAGGUGCAUCUGGAUCCAGGAAUAACAAACCAUAUGGUGUCCAACUCCUUCAAAAUGGUGUGCUGCGCAGAGAAAAGAUCACAAAUGCUGAUCAUCAAUAAAGAUCUGAUGUCCCAAGGACAAGUCACUGGACAAUUCUAGUCAUCUGUGGUGGAGGGCUAUAAAGAUUCUAGGAGACACCUUAGAGAACUUGUUCCAGGUUCAUGCUGCUGCCCAUCUCACAGGAAUGGAGUUAAAUAUAUAUAUGCUUCAGCUUACCAGUGUUUUUAAAAAAUCUGUAAAUGAUUUACUAUUUCCUUUGUGUUUGUCAUGUGGAUAAUUCUGGUAUUUGGCCAGAGAUCUAGGGUUGCAAAUCCUAGAGUUUUUUGUGGCUGAAGCUCCUGACCCAGACAUUCCUCCCAAGAGAAAUCAAUGAGGUUCAAGUAAGGCAAAGCACAUUUAGUAUUUCUAUGGAAUCCUUGAUUCAAAGACCAAUAUGGUUACCUGUUAUGGAGUUAGAGACUCCUCUUUACCUAAGUCCCUCCUGAAGUAAUUCUGUCUCCUUGCCCUUCCUGGCCCUGUCCAGUUUUGGCUUCUAUACCAUUCAGUUCUCAAUACCAGGGGAAGCAAAUCCAAGGAGGUGCAAAAUAGAGAGUAUCUUUUUUAGGAUCUAGCAUAUCUGUGGUUUAACCUGUAUGCCUCAGGGGAGCAUACUCAGUCACAGAGGUGAAAGAGUUACUUACUGAGGCUUGGAGUUUUAAUGUUUGUUUUAUAAAAAGCUCUAUUUCCUAGUUCUUUAGUUCUGUUAAUGUUUUUGAAUUUAACCCAAAAAUGAUGGUUAGGGGAAGUAAAGAGGAAGACAUCAAUAAGUAAUAAUUAUAGAGAGACAGGAUGGAAGAAAUAUAUCAAAGUAGUCAAGAGAGGUGGCUUUGUUCCCAGAUUGCCUAGAUUAAAACACUAUUUCUGUCACCUCCUAAUUUAGUCAAGUGCUUAAUGAUUUUGCUCUCCUGUUUUCACAUCUGUGAAAUGAAGAUAAUAAUAAUUGUAAGAAUUAAAGAGGCAAACGUUUAUAUGCUCUAGGUGCUUAACGUGUUUAUCAUUAUUCAGGCAUAUCAUUCCUCCAUGACCACAGUCAUGUUUCUAGGAAGUGGUCAUCAAUGUCCAGAAAAUUUUAAUAUUGACUUUACAGUGGACACAGGUACACUUGUUUGCCCUAACUGCUCAAAUUGACUGAUUUUAAAAAUAGGCAGACAAUAUACUAAGUUGUAAUGGCAAGUACAGUUGUUGGUAACGUAGAAUGUUUUGGUCUGAUUGGUCAGUUCUCUUUAUGUGAAAAAAAAAUUGGGGAGAGUAAAAUUGUAAAAAAAUUGGGUAGUAUUAUAUGUAAAUAUUAAAAAUUAUGUAUAAAUUGGGUUGUAGAAUUAUAAUCAGAAAGUUGAAAGAAAGACAAAAUUAGAUUUUGAAGAUAUUAUGUAAGGUAUUCAACUUUGAUCAAAUGCACUCAUCAUCUCUUCGAACAAACAUGUGUGUUGGUAGGUUAGAACUAUCUUUAUCAAAUGCCAUAGAAAACAUUAGGCAAAACUGUGCUUUUUAGGCUUCUUAUUUCUAGACUCCAAGUAAUCUGUCUCCAGUGCCAUUAAUAGUUUUCAAUUUCAGGUAGAAAACACUAACAUGGUUGACUUUUCAGGUUCAUUAAUUGCAGUCAUAGUGUAGUCUUAUUUUUCUGAGUUUACAUGCUGUUUUCCCUGAUUCAGUUCAGAGGUUUGCAAAUCUCAGGCACACAGUUUUAGAGAUACCAUUUUAGAGUAUCACUUGUCAAAUGUUAAUGAGCAUAGGAAGUACCUGGACAUCUUGUUGAAAAGCAGAAUGUGACUCAACAAGUCUGGAAUGGGACCUGAGUCUCUGAGCUUCUAACAAGCUCCAGGUGCUAUCAAUGAUAUUGGUCCAAAGAUGUACUGUAAGUAGUAAGUUUGUAGGUGACUUGUGCAUCCUAAUGUCCCCCAUUGCCUCUAACUUUUUCCUGUUAGAAAAAAAAUACAAUUUUUAAGUUCCGGAAAUGGCAUAUGAAGUGAGUAGUUGUACACAAGGUGUUCUCUUUUGUUUCCGACAGCGUAUCACUUCUCUGAUCAUUUCAUAUGUCUCUUAUUAGAAUGUUUAUGAGAGUGUUUUGUAAACUGUGAAGAGUUAUACAAACUAAGUGGCCUGCCUGCAUCAUUAACCAUCUCAUAAUAAAUAAAUCAUCCUGGCCAUGUAGGUUGUCCGUGUACCUGCUGCUGCUGCUAAGUCGCUUCAGUCGUGUCUGACUCUGUGUGACCCCAUAGACGGCAGCCCACCAGGCUCCCCCGUCCCUGGGAUUCUCCAGGCAAGAACACUGGAGUGGGUUGCCAUUUCCUUAGCAAAGCAAUGCCUGUUAUUCAUAGCAUCUGUCCUUGUAUUUUGACAUGGGUUUUUGUUUGAAUUCAUUGUUGUGUUUUGUGAAGUCUAGCACAGGGAGUGCCCCUUCCAAGGAAUGAGUCUUUUGUUUACACUUUCUGUGAACAUCUCUUUGAACAAAUUGCCAAAGUGUAUUUUUUGGUACACCACAAUCUCUGUUGUAAGUUGAUAUUUCAAACAUAUGCUCCAUAUUUGAUGAAAAUUUGUUUUGCUAUUUUCACUUGAUGGAGUAAUAAACAUCAUACUUGCUUUUAGACACUUU